CCAGGGCAAAGGAGUCAAUCUGUAGCCUGCCUGUCCAUGUUCUUUUGAUUUUCCAAGGGUAGUGCCUGUUCCAGAAGAUGUUGCUCUCUGGGGAGCUUCCUGAGAGUUACCACAGACUUUUCGUAUUGUCCUCCUGUCUUACUGCAGCACAUUGUAUACAAAAGAAUUGAAACCCAAUAAUCAGCAAGUCAAGAGUUUGAAGGCAUGAUUGCAUUUUUUCCUCUGAAAUCCAUCUACUGAAGCUGACAUCACAACAAGAAAAUAAAGGGGUUUAAGUAAAGAAAUGAAGCAGUGAAAGCUAUUUUUAAAGCAGAUUAUCUUCAGCUAUGCAUAAACCAAACACAUAGACAGGGAUCUAAUUCUUGUCAGUAAUUUCUUUGCUCUCCCAAGAGAUCGAAGCAACAUUUCUUUUCUGAAUGUUAGUUUUGGUGAGUUCCUGCCUUCCUUCAGUAGUGGUAGCAGCAGUAACUGCUAACUUCAGUGGUUUGUUAUGUUCAUGUCAACAACAUGAACGUGUUACUAAUUAUUAAUAACUGGUAACAUGUUCAUGUUACUAUAAUGUUUAUGUCUAUGAUUAUACAUAUAUAUGUGAAUCUGUUUAUUCUUUCUUCCCUGAGAAAUUUUGACAUAACUGACUAAAUUAAUGCCACAUGUUAUACUUCCAAAUGUAAGGUUAUGGACCUUUUUUAAUUUAAGUUUUUAAUCUGAAAUACUUAUUUUUAACAUUGUUUUGGUAUGAUGUAACUUGAGGGCUACAAGCAAAGGUGUGUAAAACAGAAGGAAGAUCAUACAUAGUUUAUAAAAUGAAGAGCAUACACUUCUCUAGGGGUAUAGCUAAGAAAGGAUUUUUAAAUGCCAAGACUCUCACUUCUGAAUGCACCCAGAGUGGAAUUCAAGGUGUGAGGUGCUGAAAUUUCCCUACCUGGUGAACAUGGAAAAUUUGGUAUCUCAAAUGAGACUGCACAACUGUAUUUGAAGAGGCAAGCCUGGAACAAUGAUGGAACACAGAUAUGUAACUUAUGUUUGAUACCUUGCCUAAGACUACAGGAGAGGUGUUUGUCUGGUUAGGAUAUGUUAACUUGGAACCUUCCCCUGAAAAUGGAGGCUCACUGUCUUUCAGAAUGAGAGAGAAGACUUGUGCUUUCUUAUUUAAAAAUUAGCUGCAUUGUGCUAUCCCAUCUACUCCCAUGUAAAAUUCCCUCCUUGAGUUCUUUCUUCCCUUUUCUGACCAUUAUUUCCUGUAAUGUGCCCUAUCGGAGAGCAUGCUUUUGUGGAAGGCGUGCCAUCAUGACAGAAUAAUUUGGUGUAAUGAAAGCAGAUUGUAUAAUAAAACCAAACACGUCUGUUGCCUCACAGCAGCCCUGUCUGCGUGAGACAAAGCUCUGUCCCUCCUUGGAGACGGGAUUCUUAUCCUGUUUUUCUCAUUAGAGAUACUUUUUUUCAUCUAAUUUCAUCUUAUUAGCAGUUUUUCAUGGUCAUGAGUUCUUAGUCUGUUCCUGUAAAGUCAAUGGUUCCUAAGAAUUAAAUAACUUUAGGACAUUACCUACCCAUCCAAGUAAAGAAAAUACAAUUUAUCCCUGAAUUAGAAAUGUUAUGAAAUCUGCAGCUGUUAAUCUUUGAGUCCUAGGUCUGAGUGAAGGAUUAGAUAAUACUAAUGCUACUCUCUAUUCACCAAACCCUUUGAAAGUAAUAGCAGAAACUAAAUUUGAUCUGCUAAUAGUAUAUGUUGGGAAUAUAUUUCAUCCUGCGGUCUCUGAAGCAAAAAGGGCAAUGCAUCAACUGAAAACAAACUUCAGCAUAAUUUUCAUCACUUAAUGUUGGGAUUUAUUUUCAGGUUCUGUUCAUUUCCUUAGCAGCACCUAUAUUUCCCAAAAGAUUUUCAUUGAUUUAAUUAAAUUAAUCCAGCUGUUCCUCCAGAAUUUCUGACAAAUACAUGGGUACUACAUGGUUUUAAAAGGAAGAAACAAAGUAGGA
Molecule: long non-coding RNA, 1974 nt
Organism: Neopsephotus bourkii (Bourke's parrot)
Lineage: Eukaryota; Metazoa; Chordata; Aves; Psittaciformes; Psittacidae
Exons: 3
Source: RefSeq, a predicted model, not a curated record